GAGUACUAAUGUUUCUUUGUAUCGUGAAAAUUCUUCAACAUAUCUGAUACUGAAUAGAAGAAAGAAACCAUAGUAAUUUCGGACAUCUGCCUGAAUCAAGAAAUGAAACAGAAGAUGCUGAAAGUUAUCCAGGUGAUCACAGUUCCUGACAUCCAUGUUGAUUUGGGACAUGGAUAGGCUUUGAAUACUGAAAGUUCUUGUAUUGCUUCUGCUUUCUUAACCUCAGUAGUUAAUGUUUAACAGUUCUGCUGCUACCUAUAAAACAAUGCAUGGCUGAACUGACAAUGUAAAUAAUGUCAAAUAUUGAAGAUAUGUGAUGAAGAGCUCAUAAUUAGAAAAACAUUCCUUUGAAAAUUUACAUUCCAGCAUACAAAAUGAAGAUGAUGUACAAGCCAGCUUGGAAAUUAAACGUAAUUUUCCUGUACUGUGGGAUAGUCAUUCAACAGUUAGGUGUCUGUACAAAAGGGAGAGAUAUGAUUUAUAUACAUUUUCUUCAUUUUCUUCUCUAGAGUAUUCUUCAUUUUAUUAAAUGAGAUUUUCAUCAUUACGCAUUCUGAUUCCAUCAAAAAUAAAAUAUUGACAUCUUGAAUUCAGAGAUGUUAGUUAUAUGUACUGUGUUUACAGUCACUAAACUUUCUGUCUGGGCUUGGUAAAGAAUGCAUUGACACAAAUCAACAACACUUUGUGUAGAGUUUUUACAUCCAAAAGCAUUCAUAGAAUUAUAGAAUCACGAGGGUUGGAAAAGCCCUCCAAGAACAUCCAGUCCAAACGUCCAUCUAUCCCAGUAUUUCCCCACUAAACCAUGUCCAUCAGUACAUCUAAAUGUUUCUUUAACACUUGCAAGGUUGGUGACUCCACCACCUCUGUAACAGCAUGAUCCAGUGCCAGACCAUUCCUUUGGAGAAUAACUUUUUCCUAAUGUCCAACCAGAAUCUCCCCUGGCUCAUGUUUCAGCUGUCUGGCUAUCAUUUCGAGAUCCUUUUCCUCUGUGUAUCUCACCAGCCUCUCUUCCAUAAGCCUGCAAGAACGCAUGGAGUUGUUUUAAGUGCAGUACCCAGAACCUGAUCUUGUUGAAGCUCAUCCCAUAGUCCUCAGUCCCGCAAUCCGGCCUGUCCAGAUCCCUCUGUAAUGCCUUCCUACUCUCAGGCAGUUCAAUCUUCCUCUCAGCUAGGUGUCACCUGCAAACUUACUGAGGGUGCACUCUACUCUCUCAUCCAGAUCAUCAGUAAAGAUAUUAAUCAAAUUUGGCCCCAGUACUGACCUGUGAGGAACACUACUCAUUAUCAGCUGGCAGUAGAAUCACAGAAUCACAAAAUGGCCAGGGUUGGA
Centrocercus urophasianus (Greater sage-grouse) is the source of this 1329-nucleotide long non-coding RNA. RefSeq lists it as uncharacterized. The record is from RefSeq and is a predicted model, not a curated record. The transcript has 3 exons. Lineage: Eukaryota; Metazoa; Chordata; Aves; Galliformes; Phasianidae.